RNAcentral lists this ribosomal RNA (418 nucleotides) under uncultured bacterium. RNAcentral's name for it is "bacterial SSU rRNA". It matches the Rfam family "Bacterial small subunit ribosomal RNA", at positions 355 to 771 of the family's 1533-position model. The record is from RNAcentral.
UAGGGAAUAUUGGUCAAUGGGUGCAAGCCUGAACCAGCCAUGCCGCGUGCAGGAAGACGGCCUUCUGGGUUGUAAACUGCUUUUGCCAGGGGCUAAAAAGCUCAUGCGUGAGAACUUGAAAGUACCUGGUGAAUAAGCCACGGCUAACUACGUGCCAGCAGCCGCGGUAAUACGUAGGUGGCAAGCGUUGUCCGGAUUUAUUGGGUUUAAAGGGUGCGUAGGCGGCUUUGUAAGUCAGUGGUGAAAUAUGUCAGCUCAACUGAGAGGGUGCCAUUGAUACUGCGGAGCUUGAGUACAGAUGAGGUAGGCGGAAUUGACGGUGUAGCGGUGAAAUGCUUAGAUAUCGUCAAGAACACCGAUAGCGAAGGCAGCUUACUAGGCUGUAACUGACGCUGAGGCACGAAAGUGUGGGGAUCAA